UUGGGAAUCUUCCGCAAUGGACGCAAGUCUGACGGAGCAACGCCGCGUGAGUGAAGAAGGAUUUCGGUUCGUAAAACUCUGUUGUUAGAGAAGAACAGCGCAUAGAGUAACUGUUAUGCGUGUGACGGUAUCUAACCAGAAAGCCACGGCUAACUACGUGCCAGCAGCCGCGGUAAUACGUAGGUGGCAAGCGUUGUCCGGAUUUAUUGGGCGUAAAGCGAGCGCAGGCGGUCAAUUAAGUCUGAUGUGAAAGCCCCCGGCUCAACCGGGGAGGGUCAUUGGAAACUGGUUGACUUUAGUGCAGAAGAGGAGAGUGGAAUUCCAUGUGUAGCGGUGAAAUGCUUAGAUAUAUGGAGGAACACCAGUGGCGAAGGCGACUCUCUGGUCUGUAACUGACGCUGAGGCUCGAAAGCGUGGGUAGCAAACAGG
This 429-nucleotide ribosomal RNA is filed under the name Bacteroidota bacterium. RNAcentral's name for it is "Bacteroidetes bacterium partial 16S ribosomal RNA". It matches the Rfam family "Bacterial small subunit ribosomal RNA", at positions 355 to 776 of the family's 1533-position model. The record is from RNAcentral. Lineage: Bacteria; Pseudomonadati; Bacteroidota.